GUGUAACUCGUAAAAGUGCAUUCAACAAGUUUCUAUCCAACCACAGAUCAAAAACGGAAAGUAAGAUACAUAUGAGGCUCAACAGCCUUCGAAAAGGAGAAAAACGAAUAGGUAUCAUACAUUGAGUUCACCCAAAUAACUUGGGCAACAAGCUAUCCAAGAGAUGAAUAAAACCAAGAAACGACUUAGGAUGCAACUAAAUCCGGUGUUUCAGCUUCAACCGAUACCAAAGCAGUGUGUACUUUCCCGACCCAGUUGUCCAAACGAUCACGCAAAGACUUUACUUGACUUAUUCCCAAAACUCUUGGUUGCACCCAAGACACAUGAACUGUUCCUUCAACUUGAUCAAUUAUCCCCUCAAUAAGAUGCACCUAUAAACUCUUCAUGAGAAGAUAUUCAACGUCUUCAACUGUAAGUUUUGUCCGGUCUGCUAUGAUGCUUAAGGGAAUGGUU
RNAcentral lists this long non-coding RNA (453 nucleotides) under Helianthus annuus (common sunflower). Its description in RNAcentral is "sRNA HanXRQr2_Chr03g0125241". The record is from RNAcentral. Lineage: Eukaryota; Viridiplantae; Streptophyta; Magnoliopsida; Asterales; Asteraceae.